This 792-nucleotide ribosomal RNA is filed under the name Scolecobasidium pandanicola. RNAcentral describes it as "LSU rRNA". It matches the Rfam family "Eukaryotic large subunit ribosomal RNA", at positions 132 to 939 of the family's 3401-position model. The record is from RNAcentral. Lineage: Eukaryota; Fungi; Ascomycota; Dothideomycetes; Venturiales; Sympoventuriaceae.
UGGCUUCCGAGUUGUAAUUUGCAGAGGGAGCCUCGGAGGGCGAGACGGUCCAAGUGCCUUGGAACAGGAUACCGCAGAGGGUGAGAGUCCCGUAUCCGGCCGAUCUUGCGCUCCGUGUGAGGCCCCUUCGACGAGUCGAGUUGUUUGGGAAUGCAGCUCCAAGCGGGUGGUAAAUUCCAUCUAAAGCUAAAUACUGGCCAGAGACCGAUAGCGAACAAGUAGAGUGAUCGAAAGAUGAAAAGCACUUUGAAAAGAGAGUCAAACAGUACGUGAAAUUGUUGAAAGGGAAGCGCAUGGGGGCAGACUUGGACGCGGGGUUCAGCGUUUCGCUUUGGAGCGUGUACUUCCCCGCGUGCAGGCCAGCAUCGGUUCCGGGGGCCGGACAAAGACGUUGGGAAUGUGGCUCCCCUCGGGGAGUGUUAUAGCCCGGCGUGCAAUGCGGCCACCUGGGACCGAGGACCGCGCCUUGUGCAAGGAUGCUGGCGUAAUGGCCUCAUGCGGCCCGUCUUGAAACACGGACCAAGGAGUCUAACAUCUAUGCGAGUGUUUGGGUGGCAAGCCCGGACGCGCAAUGAAAGUGAACGGAGGUGGGAGUCUGUUACAGGACGCACCAUCGACCGAUCCGGACGUCUUCUGAAGGAUUUGAGUAAGAGCAUAGCUGUUGGGACCCGAAAGAUGGUGAACUAUGCGUGAAUAGGGUGAAGCCAGAGGAAACUCUGGUGGAGGCUCGCAGCGGUUCUGACGUGCAAAUCGAUCGUCAAAUUUGCGUAUAGGGGCGAAAGACUAAUCGAA